This 275-nucleotide ribosomal RNA is filed under the name uncultured prokaryote. RNAcentral's name for it is "partial 16S ribosomal RNA". It matches the Rfam family "Bacterial small subunit ribosomal RNA", at positions 524 to 798 of the family's 1533-position model. The record is from RNAcentral.
CACGGGGGUUGCGAGCGUUGUCCGGAAUUACUAGGCGUAAAGGGCAGGCAGGCGGAUCCAUAAGUUUAUCGUUUAAGGCGUCGGCUUAACCGGCGUAGGGCGGUAGAUACUGUGGAUCUGGAAUGCGGUUGGGGCAGACAGAAUUCCUGGUGUAGCGGUGGAAUGCGCAGAGAUCAGGAGGAAUACCGAAGGCGAAGGCAGUCUUCCAAGCCGUUAUUGACGCUCAACUGCGAAGGUGUGGGUAUCAAACAGGAUUAGAUACCCUGGUAGUCCCU